ACGUCCAGGGUGUAGAGCUUGUGAUGCCGGCAGUAAGACAGAGCCAGAGAGCACCAUGCCGCCAGCUGUUUCUGUCUCGUAUCAACAUUGGGCUGUAGUCUGUCCACAAAGAGAUGAACAGAGGAUGUAAAAGGACACACAGCACAAGGACACCAGAAACACUUCACUCCAUCUAUGAGCCACAGCCUGACGUGAACCACAUCACGUUCCGGCCAUCCGAAACCGUACCUCGGAUGUAGCCUUUCUCCUUGACGGACUGCAGCGUGGGCCGUUUCAUGAGGAACUUCAUCAGCUUGGUGCGAACCCUCUUCUGGUCCGCGUCUCCAGCAGAGCUGGAUGAGGGUGUGACAGUCACCCUGGAGGCUGGAGUAAAGCCACAUUAGACAUUUAUAGACGCUGCCUGUAAUUGUAGCCUAACUGGGUCAAAACGACGACAUCAUUCACGCUACUUACACCUUCGCUUCUCCACGCUGCCUCCGGACUUGUCGUCUCGUGCUACAUCGAAACCUGCUAUCUUCUCGUAUAAGUCGCCGUCCUCCUCCUCUGAGUGAUGGUCCUGGUACUCCUGAAGCACAGACGUACAAAGUGACUAAAUUUCUCACAGUUAAACUUGAAUUAAAAAGUAUUUCAUCAGGGUAUUUGAACCUCCACUACACAAAUCUUAUUCCUCUCGAGUUAUUUUGUCUGUGAAUCAGUCCUGAAACUAUUUAUUUUUUAAAAAUAACAGAAUAUUUCCAAUGUAAAUCAACUUGUGGAAAAUAGUUUCUAAAAAUAAAAUGUCAGUGCUG
This is a long non-coding RNA of Scatophagus argus, 788 nucleotides long. RefSeq lists it as uncharacterized. The transcript has 2 exons. The record is from RefSeq and is a predicted model, not a curated record. NCBI's taxonomy places the organism in Eukaryota, Metazoa, Chordata, Actinopteri, Scatophagidae.